Molecule: ribosomal RNA, 433 nt
Filed under: uncultured bacterium
Lineage: Bacteria
Description: partial 16S ribosomal RNA
Rfam family: Bacterial small subunit ribosomal RNA
Source: RNAcentral
AACGAACGCUGGCGGCAUGCCUAACACAUGCAAGUCGAACGAGACCUUCGGGUCUAGUGGCGCACGGGUGCGUAACGCGUGGGAACCUGCCCUUAGGUUCGGAAUAACUCCCCGAAAGGGGUGCUAAUACCGGAUAAUGUCUUCGGACCAACGAUUUAUCGCCUUUGGAUGGGCCCGCGUUGGAUUAGCUAGUUGGUAGGGUAAAAGCCUACCAAGGCGACGAUCCAUAGCUGGUCUGAGAGGAUGAUCAGCCACACUGGGACUGAGACACGGCCCAGACUCAUACGGGAGGGAGCAGUGGGGAAUAUUGGACACUGGGCGAAAGACUGAUCCAGCAAUGCCGCGUGAGUGAUGAAGGCCUUAGGGUUGUAAAGCUCUUUUACCCGGGAUGAUAAUGACAGUACCGGGAGAAUAAGCUCCGGCUAACUCCGUG